AACCUCACCGCUUCAAAAUCGUCACCGGGGCAGACUCCUUCGGCUGCUCUCUCAAAGAAGCCCUAGUCUCCCACCUCAAGUCCCUCAACAUCGAAGUCGAAGACGUCGGCACCGACUCCUACUACUCCGUCGCCGCCGAAAUCGGCCGCCGCGUCAGCUCCUCCCCCGAAGACACCCGUGGCCUCCUCGCCUGUGGCACAGGCGUUGGCGUCGCCAUGUUCGCCAACAAAUUCCCAGGCGUCUUCGCCGCUACCUGCCUCUCUGCCGCCGACGCCCUCAAUGCCCGUUCCAUCAACAACUCCAACGUCCUGGCCGUCUCUGGCAUGUCCACCGCACCUGAAUCCGCUGUCGAAAUCCUCGACACUUGGCUCAAAACUCCCUUCAAAUCCCCCUGCCCCGCCUCCGAGUUCAAACCCUGGCCCAAAGAAAUCGAAUCCUUCCUCGAUAACUCAGUCUCCGAAAUGUCCAAAAUCGGAUCCGAAAAGACUAAAACCUCGGAUUCGUGUUCGAUUUGUUGUCUGGUGAAGAACCGAGAACUGAAUCCGAUUGAUAUAAUUCCGGGAGGGUCGAUGAAGAUACUGAGGGAGAGCCCCACGUCGGCGGUGGUGAGAUUUGAGGCCGGGAGUGUGGAGCCGGCGCACCACCACACGUUUGGGCACGAUUUGGUGGUGAUGAAAGGGAAGAAGAGUGUAUGGAAUUUGACCAAGAAAGAGAGGUUUGACCUGAUUGUUGGGGACUACUUGUAUACGCCUGCAGGGGAUGUUCAUAGAGUGAAGUACUAUGAAGAUACAGAGUUCUUCAUCAAAUGGGAUGGGCAUUGGGAUAUGUUCUUUGAUGAAGAUCUUGCAACUGCAAAAGAAGCUGCUGAGA
This 870-nucleotide long non-coding RNA is filed under the name Vitis vinifera (wine grape). Its description in RNAcentral is "long non-coding RNA (VVIN_LNC004514)". The record is from RNAcentral. Lineage: Eukaryota; Viridiplantae; Streptophyta; Magnoliopsida; Vitales; Vitaceae.